UCCUGGCGAGAAGACUUUCCAAGGCCAGGGAAGAGUGGGAGGAGCCUGUGACCGCCUGGGUCAGUGGCGCUCCCGCCGCCGGAGGUCACGUGGCAGUUACGCGCGCUGGACGACCUCCUCCAACCUCGCGAGAAGAGCUUAGCCGCUUAGCCGAGGCCCUUAACCCAGCUGGAGAGCUCACGUGGGCACGUGUUGGAUGUUGUCCUCAUUCUCGAAGGACCGGAAGAGGCUGGCUGGUUCUCCCGAGGUCCGGGGUGUUCAGGAAAUGCCCAUGCUGGCGGCAUCCCGAAGUCGCCUGGAAUUCCAGGCUUGAAGACAUGAAUGUAUUCCUGUUUAUUCCUGACCUUGAAAUAAUCCCAAAUGUGAAAAGCUGUUUGACUCCCAUCACAGAACUACAUAUGUGUGUGUAUUCAUAGACUUGCAGUGUUCACUAGAGGAGAAAUAGUCCACGUCCUACAAACUCCUGGCUUCCUAGUGGAGAAGUAAGAUUCUAGAAUCUGGAUCAAGUGGAAUGAAAUUCAGUUUCUACACAAACCAAAAGUGUGGACUGGAUUUAGGAUUCGCUCCCAAACAAUAAGAGCACAGAAAGGGGAAAAUGGCAACUUUACAGUGAAGAAAUCUGUCAGACCGCACCUUACCCAAGUCACGCAGGAGCCCUGUCACAGUCCAUGAGGAGUGGCACUCCCUAGCACUGAAUGGAAGGAGGAACGGAAGAGGAUUUGGAGACCGUGUUGCCAGUUCUGUUACCAAGGAAGAAGUUACCCCGGGGGAAGCAACGAAAGGUCCAAAUAUCUGGCUUCUAACAGCAGGGCCCGACUUCGAGAGAACAUCGCUUCCAACAUAUAUUCUGUGAACAUCAGCCAGGUUUGCUUUUUUCCCAGCGGGGAAGACAGUUGAGCGCUUUCGCCAGGUGAGGAAACAAAACCAGAGAAGUUUAAUACCUCUGCCAUCACGUCACGAGAAAGUGGGAGAGCCGUGAUGUGGCCUAGGGUGGCCUUCAGAGAGCUCCCAGUUCAUUGCUUUGUGGACUGCCCCGCUACAGGCUUGCGGGGAGGACUGGAUGAGAUAAUAGGAUGUCUGGCUGCCUCUGUCCUCUGUCCUGCCAGCAGUGACACUGGCUGCACAAACAGCCCGGUUAAAAAAUGGGCAAAAGAAUUUGAACGGGCCCAUCACAAAGGAAGACAUGCAUGUGGCCAAGAAGCACAUAGCAGUUCUCAACAUCGUCAGUCAUGGGGGAAACGGGCGUUAACACCGCAAGGAGAAACCACCGCACGCUCACUGGAGUGGCUAAAAGUCGAAAGAGUAGCAGGAGUUGGUGAGACUAUUAAUGGUACAGCUCCUUUGAAAACCGUUGGCAGUUUUACAAAAAACUGAACAAAUGCUUACGGUUCAGCAACUCCACUCAAGAAUUCCACCCAAACAGGGGCAACUGGGUGUCUCCGUCGGUUAAGCGACGACUCUUGAUUCCAGCUCAGGUGGUGAUCUCAUGGUCAUGAGACUGAGCCCGAUGUCAGGCUCUGCGCUGACAGUGUGGAACCUGCUUGGGAUUCUCUCUCCCUUUCUCCCCGCUCCUCUGCUGCUCACGUGCUCUCUCUGUCUCUUUCUCAAUCUCUCUCUAAAUAAAGAAACUUUUCUUUUAAAGACUUCCUCCUGAAGGUAAAUGAAACAUGACCACCAGAAGAUUUAUACAAGAAUGUUCAUAGCAGCUUUAUUCAGAAGAGGCAAAAUGCAGAAGCCAUCCAGGUGCCCAUCAGUAAGAGAAAAGGUAAACAAAGGCUAGCAUAAUUAUAUAAAGUAAUAAACACAGAUGAACAUGAAAAUAUUGGGCUGAGCAAGAAGGGCCUUAUCAAAAGACAAUAUAGUAAGUACUAUGUGAAUGUCUAGGACACACAAAAUUAAUCCGUAUAGUUGAAAAAUGAAAAAGAAUGAUUGACUUGUUGUGGUAAGAAUGAGAUUGAAAAGGGGUAACAGAACUUUCUGGUGUCAAGGAAAAGUUCUGUAUCUUGGUGAGUCUUGAGUUCCACGACUUUAUGCAUCUGUCAAAACCCACAGAAUGAUACACUUAAUAUACAUAUAUCUAUGUAAAUUUUACCUCAGAGGCAAAAAAAUGAGCCAUAAACAAAUGAUGAGUUCUAAUUAAUGAUACAUAUAAUGAAGUGUUUAGCGGGAAAUGUACUAAUGUCUAAAACUUACAGUGAAAUGCAUUCAAAAAUGGUUUAAUAUGUGCCCAGACACAUUACUUCAGUAGGGUCAGAAAAUGUGACUUACAAGCUCUAGGAGUUGCUUUAUGGUGCUCACUGUCCUCUUUUCGGUAGCUUUGGAAUUUUCCAUAAAGUAAUGUUCAGAAAAUCAGGAAUGACAACCAAAAAAGAAUACCUGCUUUUAUUGAGAAAUUACUUUGUGCCACGCUCUCUGUUAUCCUUAUAGCUUAUUUUUAAAUUCUCUCAAAAUCCUGAGGGUGGAUAUUAUUAUCUCCAUUUAUCCUCAGGAGAGAAAACUGACACCCGGAGAGGCUCAGUGAACUUUUCCAAGAGCAAAUGGCAUAAGAUAAAAUGAUGCAACUUUGGAAACAUUCUGACCGUUUUCCGUAAAACUAAACAAGUACUCAUACCCCAGAAAUUCCUCUCAAGAAAUCCUUUCCAAGAGAGAUGGAAACAUAACGUCCAUGAAAAAGACGCAUACAAGAAUGCUGAUAGCAGCUUUGUUUAUAGUGUAGAAUCCAAAUACAGGUCUUUCCCAGUUUAAGCUCUUAACGUUCAUGAUAUCCUGGUUUAAAAAAAAAAGGAAGCCUAUCCUCCAUCCUCAAGCAGCCGUUGCUUAGGUGGGCAACCGGGUGUGUAUUUACAAAAGAAUGUGUGUCUGUCUGCUUUUCUUGGUUCUAACAUCUCUCUUGAUCAUGACUCUCAGACGGGGCUAGCACACGAGGCUAAGGGUGAGGAGUCAGAGCCAAGAAGAUGAGAUGCCGUCUGGGAGCCAGGAGAGUGUGAGCCGGGCAGGCUGGCAGCACAGCUCUCCGAUGUCUGAGGAAGCCGGGGAAAGGCUGGCCGCAGGGCCCUGUGGCGCCCGGGUCAGAAGGGCUGAGCAGCCACACGCAGUGGCCAGCGCAGACUCACGGUGCCCUGAGGCCAGCAGGAAACCACACCAAGAGGACGGUAGGGCUCAGACCAAUCUAAAGUCUACGGCAAGAGUUUGGGCCGCAAAAAGAACUGGGUGUACAACCAUAGGACCUAGUGGUUGCUGUUGUUUAAUAGAUUUUAUUUUUUCUUCUAAAGCAGUUUGAGGCCCACCACAAAAUGAAGCAGAGAGUACAGAGACUUCCCACAUAUCUCUUACCGCAACACAGGCACAGCCUCUCCCACUGUCAACAUCCCCCAUGGGUUUUGACAAACGUAUAAUGGCAUGUGUCCACCACUGUAGUAUCAUACAGAGUAGCUCCACUGCCCCCCAAAUGCCUGUGUUCUACGUGUUCCUCCCUCCCUCACCCCAGACUCCUGGCAACCGCCGAUCUUUUUACUGUCUCCAUAGUUUUGCCUUUUGCAGGAUAUCAUCUGGCUGAAACUGUACAGUAAGUAACCCUUUCAGAUUGGCUUCUUUUAAUUUUUUUUUAACGUUUAUUUAUUUUUGAGACAGAGAGAGACAGAGCAUAAAUGAGGGAGGGGCAGAGAGAGAGGGAGACACAGAA
Felis catus (domestic cat) is the source of this 3682-nucleotide long non-coding RNA. RefSeq lists it as uncharacterized. NCBI's taxonomy places the organism in Eukaryota, Metazoa, Chordata, Mammalia, Carnivora, Felidae. The transcript has 8 exons. The record is from RefSeq and is a predicted model, not a curated record.